This 249-nucleotide ribosomal RNA is filed under the name uncultured prokaryote. RNAcentral's name for it is "partial 16S ribosomal RNA". It matches the Rfam family "Bacterial small subunit ribosomal RNA", at positions 524 to 772 of the family's 1533-position model. The record is from RNAcentral.
UACGGAGGAUGCAAGCGUUAUCCGGAUUUAUUGGGUUUAAAGGGUGCGCAGGUUGUUUGAUAAGUCAGUGGUGAAAGUCUGUCGCUUAACGGUAGGAUUGCCAUUGAUACUGUUGGACUUGGAUAUGGAUGAGGUAGGCGGAAUGUGUAGUGUAGCGGUGAAAUGCAUAGAUAUUACACAGAGCACCGAUUGCGAAGGCAGCUUACUAAUCCAUCAUUGACGCUGAGGCACGAAAGCGUGGGGAUCAAA